GUCCGCGAGUCCUGCGCGCGAAGAUCUACUCGGUGCGAGCUGACUCCCCUCAGACCAGGUGAACCAAAGCCAUGGGACAAGCAGGGACAAAAUUCAGGUUUUGGAUGGCCAGGGGUGCAGCACGGGGUUUCCACGCUUCCUUGGGAGCUGCACCCCCUCUGUCAGGCCGAUGAAAGCCGGGAGCUUUACUAUGGACUCUGGGUGCUUAGGAAGAAGGUGGCCUCGUUCAUUUCAGCCAUGAUCGACGCCCAACGUGGACGGAACUGCCACUUCCCUCAUACCUGGCUCUUAGUCUUCAGUCUGAGGUAUGGCCAACAGUUUAUUUUUUAAGUGGGGGCGGGGGUGGCGGCGAGUUUGCUUCUACCUGGCGUAGCGCACAAUACACUCAUGGCCCUGAAUUCUCCAGUGAGAGAGCUUCAGUGUUUGGAUACAACUUGUUAUCAUGUGAACUGUUGGUGGGUGUGCAGGCGUCUCUAUAACGGCUUCACAGGCCAAACGCUUUUGCUUAGUGACCCACGCUCCCCUCAGCUGCCUUCCAAGUAGCCAUCUUAAGAGCUGCAUCACAGCUCAAAGAGACGUUUCACAAUCAGUUAACAAGCAACUUGGUGGUAACCACAAAUUAUGGCAAAAAUCCCAGCUCCACUGGCCCCUUUGCAUAUUGUCUAAUUAGAGACAGUACAUCCCAAACCUGGGAAUAUUCCUGUAAGCUCCACCCCGAGACGUCAGACCUGUGGCCGUAUUUGAAUGAGGGCCCCAAUACCCAAUAAUCUUGGAAGCGCUUUACGCACUGUACCCUAGCACCUCCUUCAGACCAGUGAGUAACAGGUGCCUGUUACUCAUUGCACAGCUGAUGGAGGCCUUUUACCAUGACGGCUCCUCUGGUUCUCCUGGCCCUCUGAGCUGGUGGUGGUGUUUUAAUAAAAAGUAUAAUAGACAAUGGACGUGAGUCUCGGUGAACUCCGGAAGUUGGUGAUGGACAGGAGGCCUGGCGUGCUGCGAUUCACGGGUCAAAAGAGUCGGACACGACCGGCGACUGAUCUGAUCUGAUAAUAGACAAACCAGAAGAACAUAGAGGUUGAAGAAAUUUUGGCAAAAAAUAUAAUAGACAAAUAAAAUGUUACAUAUUUAAAGGAGAUAGUGUGGUGAUUUGACAUAUGUCUACUUUGUGAAUGAUUACCACAAUCAGGUUAACACGUCCGUCACCUCACAGCUACCAUUUUUUUUUAACGUGUGUGGUUGAGCUUCUGAUUUUGAGAAUUUCCUCCUGCCAUUGAGAAGCGACUGUGAACGUGACUAACCUCUGGUCAAAACAGCCUCCAACUUGACAUCCUGCAAAUCUGAACUAAAUUCCGUAGGUGGGAUGAGCUCUAGGAAGUUCUGUCAUGAAAACACUAUGGAUCUUGCAAUUAAGCCCAGUCCCUAAGCCUCUGACUUCACCCACAGGUGUCUUCCCUUAUGGAGUACUAGUCUCAUGAAAGCCAGCUGACAAGAAUCAGUGAAGAAGCCCACCCUGCUCCAAGGUGAGCAGGUCCUCUAUAAUGCUAGAGCCUUUCAGUGAAGGCAAACGGUUGAUGGCCUGCAGCAAUGGGUGUCCCAUGUGAUGAGCUGAAUUUCACGUGGAACUUUCUAGUCAGUGUACUGCCCACCCCUGCCUCCCAGGAAUCAGUGAACAAUAUCUGUGUAUCAGCUCAUGGACUGUCACUUAUGACCCAGCUUUAAUGGUCAGGUCUUUGGGCCCCCCCAGGACUGGACUCUUAAAGAGAUCCCAUAUAUUGGAUGACCUCCUCUUGGAAACAUAGCAGUUUUCAGAUUCAACAUUUACAUUAUAUGUAUAGUUAUAUGAAGUA
RNAcentral lists this long non-coding RNA (1847 nucleotides) under Bos grunniens (domestic yak). RNAcentral's name for it is "lncRNA (ENSBGRG00000023809.1)". The record is from RNAcentral. Lineage: Eukaryota; Metazoa; Chordata; Mammalia; Artiodactyla; Bovidae.